GGGAAUGUGGCUUAGUGGUAGAGUGCUUGUCUAGCAUGCAUGAAGCCCUGGGUUUGAUUCCCUCAAUACCA
This 71-nucleotide transfer RNA is filed under the name Dipodomys ordii (Ord's kangaroo rat). It matches the Rfam family "tRNA". From Rfam's summary of the family: Transfer RNA (tRNA) molecules are approximately 80 nucleotides in length. Their secondary structure includes four short double-helical elements and three loops (D, anti-codon, and T loops). The record is from Rfam by way of RNAcentral. Lineage: Eukaryota; Metazoa; Chordata; Mammalia; Rodentia; Heteromyidae.